AGUGAACGCUGGCGGUAGGCCUAACACAUGCAAGUCGAACGGCAGCACAGUAAGAGCUUGCUCUUACGGGUGGCGAGUGGCGGACGGGUGAGGAAUACAUCGGAAUCUACUUUUUCGUGGGGGAUAACGUAGGGAAACUUACGCUAAUACCGCAUACGACCUACGGGUGAAAGCAGGGGAUCUUCGGACCUUGCGCGAUUGAAUGAGCCGAUGUCGGAUUAGCUAGUUGGCGGGGUAAAGUCCCACCAAGGCGACGAUCCGUAGCUGGUCUGAGAGGAUGAUCAGACACACUGGAACUGAGACACGGUCCAGACUCCUACGGGAGGCAGCAGUGGGGAAUAUUGGACAAUGGGCGCAAGCCUGAUCCAGCCAUACCGCGUGGGUGAAGAAGGCCUUCGGGUUGUAAAGCCCUUUUGUUGGGAAAGAAAAGCAGCAGGUUAAUACCCCGCUGUUCUGACGGUACCCAAAGAAUAAGCACCGGCUAACUUCGUG
This 492-nucleotide ribosomal RNA is filed under the name uncultured bacterium. RNAcentral's name for it is "partial 16S ribosomal RNA". It matches the Rfam family "Bacterial small subunit ribosomal RNA", at positions 29 to 507 of the family's 1533-position model. The record is from RNAcentral.